RNAcentral lists this ribosomal RNA (99 nucleotides) under Triticum aestivum (bread wheat). RNAcentral's name for it is "partial small subunit ribosomal RNA". Lineage: Eukaryota; Viridiplantae; Streptophyta; Magnoliopsida; Poales; Poaceae. The record is from RNAcentral.
GUGACUCAAUUGGUCUUAGUUAGUCUUCGGGACGGAGUGGAAGAAGGGCGGAGACUCUCGAACGAGGAAAAGGAUCCCUUUGAAAGAAUUGAGGCCUGA